UUCGACUCUUGAACCAGGCUUAGCUCUGAUCAAGUAUUAGGAUAAGGAAGUAGGAAGUCCGCUAUGUUUUUCACAUUUACUAAUAUUCAAUCAUAGAACAAAUAAAUUAGGAGUUGGUCCUGAUCAGCAAGAAAGUUAUCAGCGGAAAAUGAAAUUCAAUUGACGGGACGGGCUUUGGAAGUCAAUUGCCACUACUUUUGGCCAAAUCAAUUGGUGCAUAAAAGUAGCACUUUAGUCAUAAAACCCUACAAUACAGAAUAGCUAGCUAGAUGCAGUGUACUGUACUAUCGACCUGUGGCCCGUCGGGACGACAUUCAUCGUCUGCCACAAAAUCAUUCUCUGGAAGAGGAGUAGACAUAGAUCUGUCAUGGUUUGAAACGAAUACGGGGACAUGAUGGUAACAACAGCUCCGGUUCCAUACUAGAUACGUGCAGAGCUAUUGACGAAAUCGGGCCAGAAAAAACCUGAAAGCACCGUGAUGUAGCCAAAUUCAGUGCCCCAGCUGCUCAAAGAUUUGGAAAUGGCCAACAGAAGUCGUACUUGCGAUUGAGCAUAAAUUCAUUGAAUCCAAAACAAAAUCAGAUGACUCGUGCUGAUCUGCACAGAUUUUGCUACGUUCCGCUAUUUUGGUAGGUGCUUUUGUUACCUUACAAAGAUUGAAAUCUUCCAAAAGAACACAAGUAGGAUACUUGUAUAAUUUGUUCAAUGAGGGGUUGCUUGUUAAAUUCACUCAAGUGAACAGGUGGAUCAUGAAACAGUAAAAAAAAAUGACCUGGAAAUUGGUUGGAA
RNAcentral lists this long non-coding RNA (789 nucleotides) under Coffea arabica (coffee). RNAcentral's name for it is "long non-coding RNA (CARA_LNC005193)". Lineage: Eukaryota; Viridiplantae; Streptophyta; Magnoliopsida; Gentianales; Rubiaceae. The record is from RNAcentral.